CUGCGUCGGCGUCGUCCGGUGCGAUUCACCCUUUUACCCUUGCCUAUGAGUACCUCUUUGUUGUUUCCUCGGCGGGCUCGCCUGCCGGUAGGAACCCAUCAAAACCAUUUUGCAUUAGCAUCAAUACCUCUGAUCUAAACAAAUAAUCACAACUUUCAACAAUGGAUCUCUUGGUUCUGGCAUCGAUGAAGAACGCAGCGAAAUGCGAUAAGUAGUGUGAAUUGCAGAAUUCAGUGAAUCAUCGAAUCUUUGAACGCACAUUGCGCCCCUUGGUAUUCCAUGGGGCAUGCCUGUUCGAGCGUCAUUUACACCCUCAAGCUCUGCUUGGUGUUGGGCGUCUGUCCCGCUGCUAUGCGUGGACUCGCCUUAAAGGUAUCGGCGGCGGCCUUUGCCAGCUUCUCGCGCAGCGAAAUGCGCUUCUCGAGGCGAAGCAGUAGGCACGCGUCCGCGAAGUUCACCUUCAUGACUUGACCUCGGAUCAGGUAGGGAUACCCGCUGAACUUAAGCAUAUCAAUAAGCGGAGGAAAAGAAACCAACAGGGAUUGCCCUAGUAACGGCGAGUGAAGCGGCAACAGCUCAAAUUUGAAAUCUGGCCCUCUUUGGGGGUCCGAGUUGUAAUUUGCAGAGGGUGCUUUGGCGUUGUCGGCGGUCUAAGUUCCUUGGAACAGGACAUCACAGAGGGUGAGAAUCCCGUUUGUGGUCGCCAGCCUUCGCCGUGUAAAGCCCCUUCGACGAGUCGAGUUGUUUGGGAAUGCAGCUCUAAAUGGGAGGUAAAUUUCUUCUAAAGCUAAAUACCGGCCAGAGACCGAUAGCGCACAAGUAGAGUGAUC
RNAcentral lists this ribosomal RNA (830 nucleotides) under fungal endophyte. RNAcentral's name for it is "eukaryotic LSU rRNA". The stretch from base 469 to 830 matches the Rfam family "Eukaryotic large subunit ribosomal RNA", at positions 1 to 358 of the family's 3401-position model. Lineage: Eukaryota; Fungi. The record is from RNAcentral.